This is a long non-coding RNA of Pongo pygmaeus (Bornean orangutan), 505 nucleotides long. RefSeq lists it as uncharacterized. NCBI's taxonomy places the organism in Eukaryota, Metazoa, Chordata, Mammalia, Primates, Hominidae. The record is from RefSeq and is a predicted model, not a curated record. The transcript is spliced from 3 exons.
AUUUCCCACAGACAUUGCGGUAUUGAAGCGGGAAAUUCUGUUCCAAGCGGGAGCCGAGGAUGGAUCAGGAUUGGUGUCUAUCCGCCUGACAGACGUGGAAUCUGAAAGGAUUCCCUUCAUCUGAGGAAGCCAGUUCUCAUCCAAAGGAUCCACCUCACACAAGUCCAGGAACUCUAGGGAGCCACGUCGAACAUGGACCUCAGAGAUACACAGCCGGGGGACAACGGAACUGAGGCAUGUAUUCUCCACUCCAGUCAGUAGUAGAAGGCUUUUCUGCAGUGGGGAAUGGAACCCAGGCCAAGUGGGCUCUAGCUGCAGAGAAGGGGAUACACAACCUUAGGUAAGAGGGUGCACAUCCCAGCCAUUGGAUGUGGGGCUGGAGGAAGACAUUUGGCUGGGCUCCUACCGUGUAUACUAUUAUACUGUUAGGGUUAGUAAGAGACAGGUGGUGAUGAUGUUGUCAGUUAAGAAAAGCCGUCAUUUGCUUAGUGAAGUGUGGAAUUGU